UGCGUAGGCGGUUUAUUAAGUCAGAUGUAAAAGCCCCGGGCUUAACCUGGGAACUGCAUUUGAUACUGGUAGACUAGAGUAUGGUAGAGGGGGGUAGAAUUCCUAGUGUAGCGGUGAAAUGCGUAGAUAUUAGGAGGAAUACCAGUGGCGAAGGCGGCCCCCUGGACCAAUACUGACGCUGAGGUACGAAAGCGUGGGUAGCGAACA
RNAcentral lists this ribosomal RNA (207 nucleotides) under uncultured bacterium. Its description in RNAcentral is "partial 16S ribosomal RNA". It matches the Rfam family "Bacterial small subunit ribosomal RNA", at positions 568 to 774 of the family's 1533-position model. The record is from RNAcentral.